This 513-nucleotide ribosomal RNA is filed under the name Penicillium sp. SP2. RNAcentral's name for it is "SSU rRNA". It matches the Rfam family "Eukaryotic small subunit ribosomal RNA", at positions 424 to 942 of the family's 1831-position model. Lineage: Eukaryota; Fungi; Ascomycota; Eurotiomycetes; Eurotiales; Aspergillaceae. The record is from RNAcentral.
GGCAGCAGGCGCGCAAAUUACCCAAUCCCGAUACGGGGAGGUAGUGACAAUAAAUACUGAUACAGGGCUCUUUUGGGUCUUGUAAUUGGAAUGAGAACAAUCUAAACACCUUAACGAGGAACAAUUGGAGGGCAAGUCUGGUGCCAGCAGCCGCGGUAAUUCCAGCUCCAAUAGCGUAUAUUAAAGUUGUUGCAGUUAAAAAGCUCGUAGUUGAACCUUGGGCCCGUCCUGCCGGUCCGCCUCACCGCGAGUACUGGUCCGGAUGGGCCUUUCUUUCUGGGGAAUCCCAUGGCCUUCACUGGCUGUGGUGGGGAACCAGGACUUUUACUGUGAAAAAAUUAGAGUGUUCAAAGCAGGCCUUUGCUCGGAUACAUUAGCAUGGAAUAAUAGAAUAGGACGUGCGGUUCUAUUUUGUUGGUUUCUAGGACCGCCGUAAUGAUUAAUAGGGAUAGUCGGGGGCGUCAGUAUUCAGCUGUCAGAGGUGAAAUUCUUGGAUUUGCUGAAGACUAACUA